GACGAACGCUGGCGGCGUGCCUAAUACAUGCCAGUAGAACGCUGAAGGAGGAGCUUGCUUCUCUGGAUGAGUUGCGAACGGGUGAGUAACGCGUAGGUAACCUGCCUGGUAGCGGGGGAUAACUAUUGGAAACGAUAGCUAAUACCGCAUAAGAGUAGAUGUCGCAUGACAUUUGCUUAAAAGGUGCAAUUGCAUCAAUACCAGAUGGACCUGCGUUGUAUUAGCUAGUUGGUGAGGUAACGGCUCACCAAGGCAACGAUACAUAGCCGACCUGAGAGGGUGAUCGGCCACACUGGGACUGAGACACGGCCCAGACUCCUACGGGAGGCAGCAGUAGGGAAUCUUCGGCAAUGGACGGAAGUCUGACCGAGCAACGCCGCGUGAGUGAAGAAGGUUUUCGGAUCGUAAAGCUCUGUUGUAAGAGAAGAACGAGUGUGAGAGUGGAAAGUUCACACUGUGACGGUAUCUUACCAGAAAGGGACGGCUAACUACGUG
This 495-nucleotide ribosomal RNA is filed under the name uncultured bacterium. RNAcentral's name for it is "partial 16S ribosomal RNA". It matches the Rfam family "Bacterial small subunit ribosomal RNA", at positions 28 to 507 of the family's 1533-position model. The record is from RNAcentral.